This 354-nucleotide unclassified non-coding RNA is filed under the name fungal sp. Its description in RNAcentral is "partial internal transcribed spacer region". The stretch from base 1 to 46 matches the Rfam family "Eukaryotic small subunit ribosomal RNA", at positions 1786 to 1831 of the family's 1831-position model. Lineage: Eukaryota; Fungi. The record is from RNAcentral.
AAGUCGUAACAAGGUUUCCGUAGGUGAACCUGCGGAAGGAUCAUUAACACGUUCUAAACGUAUCAACCAACUGUGCACACAACUCCUCCCUGGAAACACGAAGAAGGAACAUUUUCGAAUGUCUCCUCUCGACGUGUUUGUGGGCUAAAUGAAGUGUGGAAGCGGCGUCACGUUCGAAUUUCGAUUCGUUCCGUGUUCGUUGUUUUCAUUCUUCGCCUUUUUUCACUUUUAUCACCCCCUGAUAUUACUACUUAGUUGACUUAUUUUCGGAGGCUCGUGUCUUAAUUGCCACUGUCUCUCUCAUUUACUGAGUGAAUGAAAAUACAACUCUUAGCAAUGGAUAUCUUGGUUCUC